AGCGAACGCCGGCGGCAGGCCUAACACAUGCAAGUCGAACGAACUCUUCGGAGUUAGUGGCGGACGGGUGAGUAACACGUGGGAACGUGCCUUUUGGUUCGGAAUAACUCAGGGAAACUUGUGCUAAUACCGAAUGCGCCCUUCGGGGGAAAGAUUUAUCGCCAUUAGAGCGGCCCGCGUCUGAUUAGCUAGUUGGUGAGGUAACGGCUCACCAAGGCGACGAUCAGUAGCUGGUCUGAGAGGAUGACCAGCCACACUGGGACUGAGACACGGCCCAGACUCCUACGGGAGGCAGCAGUGGGGAAUCUUGCGCAAUGGGCGAAAGCCUGACGCAGCCAUGCCGCGUGAAUGAUGAAGGUCUUAGGAUUGUAAAAUUCUUUCACCGGGGACGAUAAUGACGGUACCCGGAGAAGAAGCCCCGGCUAACUUCGUG
RNAcentral lists this ribosomal RNA (433 nucleotides) under uncultured bacterium. RNAcentral's name for it is "partial 16S ribosomal RNA". It matches the Rfam family "Bacterial small subunit ribosomal RNA", at positions 29 to 507 of the family's 1533-position model. The record is from RNAcentral.